GACGAACGCUGGCGGCGUGCUUAACACAUGCAAGUCGAACGGUAAGGCCCUUCGGGGUACACGAGUGGCGAACGGGUGAGUAACACGUGGGUGAGCUGCCCUGCACUUCGGGAUAAGCCUGGGAAACUGGGUCUAAUACCGGAUAGGACUACUGCCUGCAUGGGUGGUGGUGGAAAGCCUUUGCGGUGUGGGAUGGGCCCGCGGCCUAUCAGCUUGUUGGUGGGGUGAUGGCCUACCAAGGCGACGACGGGUAGCCGGCCUGAGAGGGUGACCGGCCACACUGGGACUGAGAUACGGCCCAGACUCCUACGGGAGGCAGCAGUGGGGAAUAUUGCACAAUGGGCGCAAGCCUGAUGCAGAGACGCCGCGUGAGGGAUGACGGCCUUCGGGUUGUAAACCUCUUUCAGCACCGACGAAGCGCAAGUGACGGUAGGUGCAGAAGAAGGACCGGCCAACUACGUGCCAGCCGCCGCCGUAA
This 478-nucleotide ribosomal RNA is filed under the name uncultured bacterium. Its description in RNAcentral is "partial 16S ribosomal RNA". It matches the Rfam family "Bacterial small subunit ribosomal RNA", at positions 28 to 523 of the family's 1533-position model. The record is from RNAcentral.